Molecule: long non-coding RNA, 417 nt
Organism: Juglans microcarpa x Juglans regia
Lineage: Eukaryota; Viridiplantae; Streptophyta; Magnoliopsida; Fagales; Juglandaceae
Exons: 2
Source: RefSeq, a predicted model, not a curated record
UUCCAAAAAUAAUUGACGGGGAUCUCCCCAUUUGCUGAGGUGUACGUUCUGGGUUAAUUUAGGGUUCAUGGGGAUGUUAAUAUGAUGGAUGUUAUCAUGGGUGUCAUGUGUUGCUUUUUAAUGUCGUAGUGAUGUAAAUAUAUAUAUAUAUAUGCAUGUGUGUGAGUGUGUGUAUGUGUGUGUGUGGGCCACUGCUGAUACGAUCGAGCAGAUGAUCAUUCUAUAUAUACCUUAAUUAAGGAUCUCCAAACCAUAAUAGAGUUUGAGAAAUUAAGGUAGAUAUCAGAUCAUCAGGAGCUGGCUAGCUAGCUAGUUUGCUUAGACUUGUACGCUUUCUCAUCAUGUGAACCUUUGUUUGUACGUUGUGCUUUGUUUUCUGGUGAUCAAGGUACCUAUAAUAUUGUUCAGUUCAUGUGU